This 427-nucleotide ribosomal RNA is filed under the name uncultured bacterium. RNAcentral's name for it is "partial 16S ribosomal RNA". It matches the Rfam family "Bacterial small subunit ribosomal RNA", at positions 354 to 796 of the family's 1533-position model. The record is from RNAcentral.
GUGGGGAAUAUUGGGCAAUGGGCGAAAGCCUGACCCAGCAACGCCGCGUGAGGGAAGAAGGCCUUCGGGUUGUAACCUCUGUCCUUGGUGACGAAGAAAGUGACGGUAGCCAAGGAGGAAGCCCCGGCUAACUACGUGCCAGCAGCCGCGGUAAUACGUAGGGGGCGAGCGUUGUCCGGAAUUACUGGGCGUAAAGGGUGCGUAGGUGGCCUUUUAAGUUGGAUGUGAAAUACCCGGGCUUAACUUGGGGGGUGCAUCUAAUACUGGGAGGCUAGAGUGCAGGAGAGGGAAGCGGAAUUCCUAGUGUAGCGGUGAAAUGCGUAGAUAUUAGGAGGAACACCAGUGGCGAAGGCGACACCCUGGACCGAUACUGACACUGAGGUGCGAAAGCGUGGGUAGCGAACAGGAUUAGAAACCCCUGUAGUCC